CUUUUGUGUAUGCUCUCUAUAUGUUGACUGUCCGGUUCAAAGCACAGAGCUUGUAGUAACGAUCACUGACAUGGAGCUAAGAUGGAUAUGACCAUUUGCAGAUUAAGACGUGGAUUCUCCAUUUAAUUUAAAUUUUGCAACUCACAAAUGCAUAUUUGUUUUAAUUCAGUGAUAAGUAACCACAAUAAAAAAAAAACAAGCAUUUAAAAUGACAGAGCCCUGUUAAAGGAAAAACUAUAGUGUCAGGAAUACAAAUCAG
Non-coding RNA from Pelobates cultripes (western spadefoot toad), 259 nucleotides. Lineage: Eukaryota; Metazoa; Chordata; Amphibia; Anura; Pelobatidae. The record is from the annotation of a GenBank genome assembly.